This 1263-nucleotide non-coding RNA is filed under the name Cryptosporidium parvum. The record is from RNAcentral. Lineage: Eukaryota; Apicomplexa; Conoidasida; Eucoccidiorida; Cryptosporidiidae.
CUGAAAUUUAUUUGUAAUUCGUUCAUAGUUUAUCAGCCUUUGUGCAAAGUAUUUGAGUCCCUCUUAUUGGAAUGCUUUUUACUUGCUUUAUAUUUAGAAAAUAUUAUUCCUAAAAGUAGCACUACUCCAGAAUAUUUACUCAUAAUAAAUUGUUUCCUGCAAUCUUGUUCGGAAAAGAAAUUUGUAGCUUUACUUUGGUAAAUUAAAUGAGCUGUAUAUAAAAGUACAGAGAACUGGUAUUCCAGCUUUUUGGAUUAACAUUCUUUACAAAGUAAUUGAAACUUACUCCUAAAUUUGCAAAUAUGCCUGCAGAUGACGCAAAUAUUCCAGAAACUAUUGCAUUGAUAAACAAACGACUUCCUGUAGCUUCAUUCCUAAGGGAGAUAUAAAGAAUAAUUGAGGUAAAAAUACUCACCAUUUUAAUGCAGUCGAGAACAAUCCAAUUUGUUUGUCAAAUAACCUAUCUUGAUGCGCAUAGAUUGUAUCAUAAUGUACGCUCCAACAAACAGAAGAAAGGUAAUAUGAAAUCGGACAUAACCACGAGCUCCGAUAUGGGUUAAUACAACCAUAUAUAGAGGUCCAAGCAAGCAAUACGCCCCAAUUAAAUGUAAAACCUAGAAAUAGCUGGGGGUAAUGCGUUAUCCUUUUCAUAAAAGGGUAUGCUGCUAUUAAGAAUACAGAAGGAAUACCUAAAUAAAUUGUGUAUCUGUUAAGUCUAGACAAAACAAUCGCUGAAGUUGUAGAAGACCCAAUGAGAGCAAUUAGCGCUAAACUAGAAUGAAAAUAGUAAAACCAAACUUGUGUAAUUUACCUUUGGUAAAAGCCAUUUCUCCGUUAGCAAGCGGUCUAUUCUUUGUUCUCUCAACCUGAAAGCAGAUGAUAAUGAAUAAAGAAAGUAUGGAAAACAACCUUUGAAUCAAAUUGGCGAUCUGCCAAAUCAUUUAUUACGCAUCCUGCGCUCCUAGAAGCUACUGACCCAAGUGCAAACAAUGCGGUAAUGUUCGCUUUUGGUAGCAAUGAGUUAGAUGCAAGGGUCAAGCUCCCAAAAGUAGGAAUAAAGAGAAGCCAAAAUCCCGUGGGGUUGUUAAUUCUAUACAACUUAAUAUAGUGUUUAAAGUUCAUUUUACAUAUCCCCCUACUUGUUCUAAAUACGCUUUGUAUACAUGUCUUUGAAAAGCUUGAGUUGAUAAAUCCAUAAUUCGGUCGAAUAGUAUUCAUUAUUAGGCACAAUUUUUUAAAUAUAUGAUGUAAUUCUCAUUUUAC